GCGCGAGUGGCUCAGUGGUAGAGCGUCUCCUUGCCAAGGAGAAGGUCGCGGGUCCGACUCCCGUCUCGCGCU
RNAcentral lists this transfer RNA (72 nucleotides) under Clostridiales bacterium GWE2_32_10. RNAcentral describes it as "tRNA-Gly". It matches the Rfam family "tRNA". From Rfam's summary of the family: Transfer RNA (tRNA) molecules are approximately 80 nucleotides in length. Lineage: Bacteria; Bacillati; Bacillota; Clostridia; Eubacteriales. The record is from RNAcentral. RNAcentral also lists the same sequence under 1 other name.